Long non-coding RNA from Lepidothrix coronata (blue-crowned manakin), 443 nucleotides. RefSeq lists it as uncharacterized. The transcript has 2 exons. The record is from RefSeq and is a predicted model, not a curated record. Lineage: Eukaryota; Metazoa; Chordata; Aves; Passeriformes; Pipridae.
GAGAGACCUACAGUACGUGGAGGGGACUGGAAACAAAAUUUAAGCAAGUGGAAGAAAGCCACAAGCAGCACCUGGCAAGGCAGUUUAAGGGCUAACUUAAAAGCAAGUUUUUUCAAUGCUGCAGUGACUGAAGAAGCAGUUCACUCCCAUGUAACCAUGAAAAGAGGGCCACAGAGCAUUUUGCACCAUGCAUUGAUUUUUUUGAUUAUUUUCCAAAUUAGCACCAUAUCUCACUAAGGAACCUUGAACCACACAACCAAGAUCUUCCUUUGCAUGCAAUUGUAGAUGCAUUUCAUGAAUAGUUUGAAACCCUUGUCAAUGCAUAUAUAUAUAUUAUUUUCUUUUAUUUUUUGGAAAGAAAAAAAAAAAACAACUCUUUGUGUAUGUGAUCUGAAGCAUGUAACCCUAAGAUGUUGCAUUCUAAAAAUGACAAAUAAAGGCCU